UAUCUCGAAGUUAUCAGUGAAGAUGUACUCGCUCUUGAGACAUGAAGUGAUUUAUAUGUUAAAUAGUCUCUAUUCAAUAUUCCGAAACGUUGGACGACAGCGAGUUUACAGUCAAAAUGUUCAAAGUAAUUGUAUUGAUUUUCCUGCUGGUUAGGGUUAACAUUUCGCAAGUCCAGGUGGAGAACAUUAACUGCGCAAAUGGUGCAAACGAAGGCGUAUUCUUUCCGCAUCCAGAAUCUUGCCAGAGCUACCUGACGUGCUUUUUGGGGCAGCUGAUUGAGGGACAAUGUGGAUAUGGAUUAUUCUUCGAUUUGGAGCGACAAAUUUGUGAAGCUGAAUCACGCGUCCGCUGUGUCAUGCCUUCCAAGAGCGCAAAAUAAGAUUCCGUGGAGAUGGUUAUCUAAUAUUUAGCAUGGAGUAUGUUUUGAUAAGAGCCUGUUUUUUUUUCAAUUAUAUAAGUAUAAACAUUACCAGUUGUAAAAUAAAUAAGUGUUGCAUAUAUUUCAA
Aedes aegypti (yellow fever mosquito) is the source of this 507-nucleotide long non-coding RNA. RefSeq lists it as uncharacterized. The record is from RefSeq and is a predicted model, not a curated record. NCBI's taxonomy places the organism in Eukaryota, Metazoa, Arthropoda, Insecta, Diptera, Culicidae. The transcript has 2 exons.